This 1640-nucleotide ribosomal RNA is filed under the name Candidatus Moranbacteria bacterium GW2011_GWF2_44_10. RNAcentral's name for it is "bacterial LSU rRNA". It matches the Rfam family "Bacterial large subunit ribosomal RNA", at positions 10 to 1693 of the family's 2925-position model. Lineage: Bacteria; Candidatus Moraniibacteriota. The record is from RNAcentral.
AUGAAGGGCGUAUGGUGGAUGCCUUGACUCAAGUGAGCGAUGAAGGACGUAGCGAUCUGCGAUAAGCCUCGGGGAGCUGAUGAGCAAGCUUUGAUCCGGGGAUUUCCGAAUGCGGCAACGCAUCUCGAUUCAUAUCGGGAUAUUACUGUCUGAAUUCAUAGGACAGUGAAGCGUACCCAGGGAACUGAAACAUCUUAGUACCUGGAGGAAAAUAAAUCCAAAAGAUUCCGUCAGUAGUGGCGAGCGAAAGCGGAGAAGCCUAAACCGAUUGUUUUGUUAGCUGAACAAUUCUGGAAAGUGAGACCAAAGAGGGUAAUAGUCCCGUAAGCGAAAACGAAACAACUUUAUUGUUAUUAUUCUCAAGUAAGGCGGGACCGGAGAAAUCCCGUCUGAAGCCGGGGCCACUAUAGCUCCAAGGCUAAAUAUCACUUGAGAUCGAUAGCGAACUAGUACCGUGAGGGAAAGGUGAAAAGAACCCCGAUGAGGGGAGUGAAAUAGAACUGAAACCAUAUGCUUACGUAGAGUUGGAGCCCCGACGCAAGUCGGGGUGACAGCGUGCUUUUUGCAGAACGAGCCAACGAGUUAAUUUUAUGCGGCAAGUUUAACCCAGCAUUGAAUUUAUAAAGUAUGGGGAAAACGUAGUGAAAGCGAGGCUUAAUCGCCGAAAAUAAGUCGCAUGGAUUAGACCCGAAGCCGGGCGAGCUACAUAUGAGCAGGGUGAACGCAGAGUAACAUCUGCGGGAGGCCCGAACCCACGCGCCGUACAACACGCGGGGAUGACUUGUGUGUAGAGGAGAAAUUCCAAUCGAGCUCGGCCAUAGCUGGUUCUUCCCGAAAUAGCUUGAGGGCUAGCGUCGGAUAAAUGAUCACAGGAGGUAGAGCUACUGAAUGAGGGAUCGUGGAGCAAUCCUAGGUCUCUCAACCAAACUCCGAAUGCCUGAUGAUUUUAUCCCGACAGUCAGAACGUGGGGGCUAAGCUUCACGUUCGAGAGGGAAACAGCCCAGAUCGCAGUCUAAGGUCCCUAAAUCUAUGUUAAGUGGUAAAGGAAGUGAAGUCUCCGAGACACCUAGGAGGUUGGCUCAGAAGCAGCCAUCCUUUAAAGAGUGCGUAACAGCUCACUAGUCUAGAGAUUUCGCGCCGAAAAUUCAACGGGGCUCAAACAUAGUACCGAAGACGCGGACUCCAGCGCUUGCGCUGGUUUGGUAGGGAAGUGUCCUCAUCUGCUGCGAAGCGGAAGGCGUGAGCCACCGUGGAGCGUUGAGGAGUAAGAAUGUUGGCAUGAGUAACCGCAAUGUGAGUGAGAACCUCACACGCCGAAAGUCCAAGGUUUCCUGGGCAAUGUCGAUCAACCCAGGGUUAGGCGAUCCUAAGGCGAGGCCGAAAGGCGUAGUCGAUGGACAGCCGGUUAAUGGAGUGACGUACUCUAGUAGUCUCUGCCCCUUAUUGGAUUGGGGUAGGCGCAUUGAGGACGUUCGCGAGGAAAAUCCCGCGAGCACAAAUCCAAGAUGCGACUGGAAGUCCGAUUUAUCGGGCGAACGGAGAUGAGCAGGGUACCAGGAAAAACUUCUAAGGUUAAUAAUAUUGCGUCCGUACUUAAAACCGACACAGGUGGACAGGGCGAGUAGCCCAAGGCGAACGG